Molecule: long non-coding RNA, 1657 nt
Organism: Orbicella faveolata
Lineage: Eukaryota; Metazoa; Cnidaria; Anthozoa; Scleractinia; Merulinidae
Source: RefSeq, a predicted model, not a curated record
UGAUGACCUGUCAACACACCUCUUUCCGUUGAAUUUCACCAAGAGAUGAGGUCACUGAGAUAUAUGGAACAGAAAAUUAAACAUUGACGGGAAAAUUUUAUUUGUUCCACUCAAGAUAUCUGUCAGUUAUUACACAAGUAGCAUUCUGCCUCCCAAAAAGACUCAUUGGAACAAAGCCUGACUCGAAAAUCGUACGAAUUUUCAACUACGGUUUGCAGAGAUCUUGCGAAACGAAAGUAGAACAAAAAGUACAUAUGUAAGCAAAAAGUAAACAUACACAAUGUUUUAGCCGAAUCUUUUUCGACGCCUACCAUGAAUAAUUUUUUUUGCUCUUAGCUCUAUGUCACGCGUAAGGCUAAAGAAUCACCAAGCAUUAAAAGAAGAGCUUUGAAAUGUAUAAUAAAGAUUGUAAAAUCGAGAAAUUUAGGUUGAAUUGUCAAGAUCAUCAAUAAGUUGGAAAAUUAUGCAAAUUAACCUCAAAGUGCAUUUUCAUGAAUUAUUAAUGUUAAAACAUGGUCGAAAACCAAAAGAAAGCGUGGUUUUGGUGUGCUCUUGUUUUGAAACUAAAACCGCAAGCUUGUGCACGUGGACAACGGAAUACACAUCAAAAGAACAACUUUGAUUGGUCAAGAAACAAUGGCAAUAACACGCGCGCGAACUAUUGUCCUUGAGACAAUAGCAGGACUGACAACGUCUUAGACGCGAGCCAAUCAAAAAAUACAAAAAUAUUGCAACGUAUUAUUUGGCAGAAUAUCAAAAAUAGGUGAAUAUAUUUAUACGCAGUUAAAUAUUUUUUUCGCGGGAACUUUUUUUUGGCGACGUUCAGUGAGUGAAGAGGCAAAAGACAUUCGUUGCGAGAAGACCGACUUCCGAACAUUCGGUCUUGCCAUGAAUUUUGCCCUUCCUUGAGGAAGGUUAACAGUACUUGAAGUAAUUACCAGCGAAGGAGAACUUUCUGCGACCGUCUUUCCUUGUCAAACAAGUUAGCUUCGAAGGCGAAACUUCAAGCAACAAGUUGUUGACUAUUAAAGAAGCGAGCCGCUUGAAGAUCAUUUUAUUUCGCCCUGACCGCUCGGAGAGGAUAUACGUAACUGGUAUGGACCGCGACAAGCCAAGAUCAGCCGGCAGCAAGCCACAAAUAAAUCAACUGGCUUGUCCUUCAUGUGAAUUGAGUCAAGAAAGUAAAGAAUUAUGCCGAGAAAUUGGGAAGGUGUUGGCCAGAAUUGGAGAUAGAAUAAACGCUUUGCAACUGACAAGGAAUGGACACAAUCUUCACAUCAACUGUCGCGAUGGCGAAAGGAUAAACGAUGAUGAUACGAGACCCAGGACGGGGGUGAAUAAACUUCCGUAAAUACCGGAAGGUUUUUAUCUACCAAUUACUUUUAAAAAUUCUAUUUCUACGCCAGAAGAAUUGUACAUAUUAUAUGCAGAUUUUGCUGUAAUCUAGAUGUAACGUACUUCAUUUUGGAAAUGCGUAUAUGUAUAAUAGUUUUUAAGACUCGAGCUGUGAGCUUUGUAAUUUGCAUCGCUGAUUUUACGAAAACAACAGUUCCUGAGACGAAUUGUUUUAAAAGGAAAACCCAAUCUUCAAAACGCAUGUAAAUAGUUUUCACAAUAGCAGUGACAUACAAAUAAAAUCAGCUGAUGAAGAGCAAUA